AAUAAGUGAAGUUUUACGCUCUUCAUUUCCAACGUUUGACCGUUCGUCUUAUUUAAUUUUUUUUAUGAUUAGUAUUUUUAUUAGAUGAUAAAAUAUGAAUAGUACUUUAUGUGUGACUAAUUUUUUAAAUAAGAUAGACGGUCAAACAUUGGACACGGAUACCUACGGCUGCACUUAUU
Oryza meridionalis is the source of this 179-nucleotide non-coding RNA. The record is from Rfam. Lineage: Eukaryota; Viridiplantae; Streptophyta; Magnoliopsida; Poales; Poaceae.